Varroa destructor (honeybee mite) is the source of this 703-nucleotide long non-coding RNA. NCBI's taxonomy places the organism in Eukaryota, Metazoa, Arthropoda, Arachnida, Mesostigmata, Varroidae. The record is from RefSeq and is a predicted model, not a curated record.
CUUGCGAUGAAAUUGCAAGCAAUUUAUAGCCAUCUUUAAUCUAAAUUAGUUCCAACAUUAGGCAAAGGUCCUUGAUAACCAACUUGAUGCUGAGAAUGGAUGGAUAAGCUAACGAUCCACUUUAGGAUAAUUCCUUCUCGCGUUUCAUUUCCCUUGCAGCUGCUGCGCUCGAUAGUAUUAUGUUCGCCAUUUACGUUAUUCCAGCCAGUGUUAUCAGCUACAGUUGGUCGAACUGCGGCGCGUGUUUCUUCGUCGUGCAUGCAAAAACGUUGGCCAUUUGAGCGGCUAUUAUCGUACCGACGAAAGUUUCAAUAAAAGCUGCCUGAAAGAAAAACCUUUGCUCCGCGACAAGCGACCCAAUUAAGCGUAACUUCUGCCUAAAAUGACAAAAACUACUCGCUCGAAGACAGGUUCAUACUGAAUCCGAUCUUCCGUAUCUGCGACCCUACGUGUAUCAGAAACCCCACGUAAAGGAAGUCGGAUUAAUACGUCGCUCAAAACCUGGCUUAAAUUGUCUUGUUCAGUUUAUCGUUUGCUUAAACUUUCCGUGUGACUGACAACUAACUAGUUCUCUUUAGAGAUGAACAAAAUUUCUCUAUGCCUUUACCCGUUGUUUCGCGUGCUAUUCGCUUAUAAAAGCGAAGUUUACCACUGGAGCUCGAAAGGGAAAAUGUCACCGGCCAUUAUUUCAUGUAAGCUAGCA